GUCUCUGUAGCGCAAUGGAUGGCGCGUUGGACUUCUAAUCCAAAGGUCGUGGGUUCAAAUCCCACCUGGGAUG
This 73-nucleotide transfer RNA is filed under the name Trichonephila inaurata madagascariensis. It matches the Rfam family "tRNA". Rfam says of the family: Transfer RNA (tRNA) molecules are approximately 80 nucleotides in length. The record is from Rfam by way of RNAcentral. Lineage: Eukaryota; Metazoa; Arthropoda; Arachnida; Araneae; Nephilidae.